UACGACUACAUAUCAGGCAUAUCAAUAAGCGGAGGAAAAGAAACUAACAAGGAUUCCCUUAGUAACGGCGAGUGAAGCGGGAAGAGCUCAAAUUUGAAAUCUUCAAGGUUCUACCUUGACGAAUUGUAGUUUAAAGAAGUGUUUUCUGUUAGAUGAGUAGCAAAAGUUCCUUGGAAUGGGACAUCAUAGAGGGUGAGAAUCCCGUAUUUGACGUUAUUCAUUCUAGCUGUGUGAUACACUUUCAAAGAGUCGGAUUGUUUGGGAAUGCAGUCCAAGAUGGGUGGUAAAUUUCAUCUAAAGCUAAAUAUUGGCGAGAGACCGAUAGCGAACAAGUACCGUGAGGGAAAGAUGAGAAGAACUUUGAAAAGAGAGUUAAACAGUACGUGAAAUUGUCAAAAGGGAAGCGUUUGACACCAGUGUUGUUUUUCCGAAAAUCAAUUACGAAUGGCUUGAUUUUGUGUUGUAUUGACCUUAUCAGCUUUCUGCACUUUUUUCGAGUCUUUCUUAAUGCACUUUUCGGUUAACAAGUCAACAUCAAUUUCUUUUGAUGUAAAAGAGUAUUCGGAAGGUGGCUUUCUUUUCGGAGAAAGUGUUUAUAGCCCUAUACUUCUACAAUCGGAGAGAUUGAGGUCUGCAGCGUAGAUCCUUCGGGGUUAGAUACACUUGUGCUAAGUUGUAGCUUUUCAUAGACAACUUGUUGACUAUGUUUAGUCAUGCGGCUUACUCGCUUGUGCUAUUUUACCUACGCUUAGGAUGUUGAGUAGCGACAUACGCAC
Molecule: ribosomal RNA, 776 nt
Filed under: uncultured Neocallimastigales
Lineage: Eukaryota; Fungi; Neocallimastigomycota; Neocallimastigomycetes; Neocallimastigales
Description: partial large subunit ribosomal RNA
Rfam family: Eukaryotic large subunit ribosomal RNA
Source: RNAcentral